This is an RNA transcript of Triticum aestivum (bread wheat), 3937 nucleotides long. RefSeq lists it as uncharacterized. Lineage: Eukaryota; Viridiplantae; Streptophyta; Magnoliopsida; Poales; Poaceae. The record is from RefSeq and is a predicted model, not a curated record. The transcript has 15 exons.
CAGGACUCGCACGCACGAGCGAGACUGCCCUCGGGGGGAGGCCUCCAGAUCCCUUCGCUGCCAGAUCCCUCCUCGCGAUCCUCCCGACGUCCUCGCGCCGCCGUCCUCUUCUUCUCUGCGACUCCUCUGUGCACGACGCCCUGACCGACGCCGGCGAGUCCUCGGCACUCCGCGUGCGCCUCGCAUCCAACGCCGGGGAGGAUCGCGUGACUCCGCCCGCGUCGUCGCCUCCGACGCUGGCCUCUCCUUCACCACCGUCCCUGCCGGCAGGGUCCCCCUCGUCAUGGCCUUCCUCGCCUGGGUGUACGUCACCAGCUGGCCAUAUGGCAGGACGCGCAGACCCGGGCGAUCCUCUCCGGCCUCCUUGAGAAGAGCUCGACUCCAGCCCGGCGACGACGAUGACCUGAUUCCUACCCGUGGACGAUGAUGUGCUCUGGCCCAACCGCAUCGACCUCAACAAGCCUCGUCAAGAAUCGUCACCGUGGGCUGCGCCCCUCUCUUCCUUCACGACCAGGAGUUGUCGAGGAGAACCAUCAACUUGAUUGAUUGGUUGUCUACUUGAAAAGAAAAGAAGAUGAAGACGAAUGAGUGGAUCUGAAGGAGAGAGGGCGAGAAGAAGAGGCGCCGUGUGUCUUGUAGUGGGUGAGAAUUGUCUAGCCGGCAAUGGAUUUCCAGCAAGGGUGGCAGAGAAAAAUCCAUGACGGGAUGAACACCACCACUACAGCAUCAUGAAUGUCAUCGAGUUCUCUUGGGCAAUAAAACUGCAGUCACUGGAGGGAGCAAACCAAAUGACCAUAUAUCUACUACUCAGAUCACGGGGGUUCUGGAGUCCUUGGCGUGUGCAAGUAUGCCCAACCUGCCAUAUCUCUAUGCUGCGGAUUUUAUCAAGGUCUUACAAGAACAACAUGCAUCCAACACCUACGCAAAAAUGAAGAAAGCACCUGGGGUACAUACUGCCCAGGAAUGGAGCCAUCGCCUCCUUCUGAGUAUAUUACCUGCUUAGGUGAUCUCUACAGUAUUUCCUGGAUGGAAGACAGGUAUGUAACUCGUAACCUGAAUUCACAAUGAUAAGAUUAAUUUACAGAGUACCAGUGUUUAGCAGAAUAGGGUACAAUGACCAGCAUCUGAUGAGUUAUAUUUGGUUGCAUUACUUUGCACUGCAUAGUACCUCAAGGAGGAUUUUGUAACAAGUCAUGUCCAUUCCUUCCUUUAGUUCCGAAGUACAUGGCAUAGAACCUGCUAAUUUGGAUUACACAAGUCUGCUGAAGAAUCUGUUUGUAUAUUAAGCAUUCACUUAAUGACAUGUUUGGUUAUCCUGGUUCCAGGCUCAGAUUGUUUGUAGAGUAAUCAUACAUCAAUAGUGUAUGUGUGGUCUGUAUAAAAUGGAUAGGCGUAGAUUUUCUUAAUCAACUUGGUGCGCAUUAUUGGUUCUAGCUGAAAUAUCUUUUCCCCUGCAUCUUACACUAAGGGAGAUUCAGGGAAGAAGUGAGGUGCAUAAAGUAUAACAACAAGGCAGGCAAGAUACUGGUGGUGUAGGCUUCAACAUUCAGUCGUUGUGGCCACAAUGCACUCUUAUUUCAUAAUAUACCUUGCAUGUUUUUUAUUUGAGAGGGAAUUAGAUUUAGCCUAGCCGUGCUAUCCAUCCCAGAUGCUAAUAAAUUGUGUAACUACGUAAGUUCUUUUUUGACUCAGAAAUAGCAUCGGCUGCAUAGAUGGAGUACGUUUUACAUGUUUUUUUGUUGUUGGAAAAAGUAUGCUUUUCAUCUUAACCAUACACUUGAAAAAAAAAUGCUAUUUUGCCAAAGAAUUUCUUGUCAGCUAUGGUAUUUAAGCUCAGAGUUACUAACUCAAUGAGGUGUAUUAUAAAUUUGGAGGUACUAAUUUUUUUUCAUAUACAUAAAUGUAUUUGACACCUCUGAGCAUCUACAGAUCUUGCAAUUGCUAGAUAGCAUUUGCCUUCCAAAUUUUUUCCUUGAGACCAUGUGGGUCUGAAGAUAAAUUGUUUAAUAGUGAAUGUUGUUAUGUUUAUGCAAGUUGGAUGCUAUUAAAAACUUCUUAUUUCCCAUUUUGGGUAUGAAUUAUGCUUUAUACUAGCUGUUAGAGAAAUAUUAGAACACAGUGUGCAUGAUAGUUCUUUUUAAAAUACCUAAAGAACUUUGGGUCCUGAUGAACUCACAGAAAAAGAGAUUUGAAAUUAGGUCCAAGCCUAAAGAAGGGCCACGCCUAAAAUAGAACACGGCACCCCUUUCUAAAAUUACUAACGGGGUUGAUGUUGUUGCACGUCGUGGCGGGGACGGUCGUGUAGCAGCCGUAUGUGCACUGCUUGUGCUAGGCGCCGAUCUGGAGGCCCCUGAUCGGAAGGGAAGCCACUGGAGCUGCUGCGGGAGAUGGUGGCGGUACGCUGGUAGAGCUUGGAGCAGACGUGGAGGGGCCGGACCUGCUGGUCCUUGAAGGUGCUGAAGGUGCUUCGAGAAAAAAAUCAGUUAGGUGUACAUGUACUAAGAAAAGGAACGGCUUGUGUUCCACGAUGGUACGUGCCGCAGUAUACUCAACGGAUGGCAGGUUCUUAUAUGCCAUAUGGAGAGGGAGAACCAGGUGCCUGAGGGACAUCGAGCUUUCCCAUGUCUUCUUCCUUCCAUUCAACGUUGUUAAGAUUUUGAAGAUUUUUGGCGAUCUGAACUCGCGUGACAUGGACCCUCUGCAACGGACUCUUGGCUUACAUCAACCAUUUUGUUGACCAAGUACCUGUAUUGCGGCAUGAUCCAAGGAGUGGGUCACUGCAUAUAUCCUGACAUGACUGGUCUUUUAUUGUUAUCUUCUUGGGAGUACUUGAGAAGGCGUGGCGGGGAAGGUGGGGACACGCCAUGGCAGAGGCCAGUGGCAAACCUACGUGUAAGCCCUGAGGUCCGGGGAAGGUAGCUUUAUUUGGCAAUGCCAAUGAUCAAGUUAGGGAUGCACAAGUCAACCAUGAGAUGUCGGAGACUGAUGUGGAUGCGCAAGGGCAGCGCUGGCCUCUGCCUAGAAGGGCAAUCACAGUGUACAGAGCUCUAGCAGCACUACGCCGUCAUCCUCUGCCUCACCCCGGCCGCAUGAAUUUCAAGAGAUGCAAGGAAGUAGGAGGAAGAAGAAAUGCAGGCGACCUCAUGAAAGUCACAGCAGCAAAGAUCCACAGUCUGUUAUUGUUAUCUUCUUGGGAGUACUUGAGAAGGCGUGGCGGGGAAGGUGGGGAAACGCCAUGGCAGAGGCCAGUGGCAAACCUACGUGUAAGCCGUGAGGGUAUUCUUGCUGGCGUCGUCGCUAGCAGAGGCGCAUGGUCGACAGGAAGAGCCAGGGCAUUGACACUUUUCGUGCUACCAACACUACAUACCAGCCACAAAAACACAAUAACAGUUGGGAGGGCUGCUUUAUAUCCCUAGACCCCCACCCACACCUGACCGCCAUCUCCCUCUUUCCUCGGUAUCAUAACCUGAUGCGACGUUGGCGGCGCAGCAGUCCGGAGGAGGCCAGCAGUGCCGACGACGGCUCUGCGAUGGGGAAAGGUCGCUCAUCAUUGCGGCACCAGCAGUUCCACGAUCACAUUAUAUCCGCGUGUUGAUGAGCAACAUGACUCUCCGCCCUUCCUCCCUCCAGGAAGAGACAUGAUCAUAUCGAUCACCAGUCAUGGAGUCAAGUGGUUGUUGUCGUCAAGCUAAAUGUUGCGUGGAUGCAGGUGGAUGUGGGCGCCGCGGCUGCCACCAAGGAUGUAGGGGUCAUGCUACAACCGGUGAGGACACAAUAGGCACUUUUUUUUGGGAUGGAGGGAGUAUUACAUUCCUUGUAAUCGCAUGCUAUAUUUUCAGUGGGAAUUCAUUGACACAGUUCCUUACAAAAGUUGUAUCUUUGACAUAGGCAAACUGCUCAAGUGAUUAUAUCAUCCAUUCUGAUUUUGAGGGAAAUA